Molecule: ribosomal RNA, 484 nt
Filed under: uncultured bacterium
Lineage: Bacteria
Description: partial 16S ribosomal RNA
Rfam family: Bacterial small subunit ribosomal RNA
Source: RNAcentral
AUUGAACGCUGGCGGCAGGCCUAACACAUGCAAGUCAAGCGGAUGAAGGGAGCUUGCUCCUGGAUUCAGCGGCGGACGGGUGAGUAAUGCCUAGGAAUCUGCCUGGUAGUGGGGGAUAACGUCCGGAAACGGGCGCUAAUACCGCAUACGUCCUGAGGGAGAAAGUGGGGGAUCUUCGGACCUCACGCUAUCAGAUGAGCCUAGGUCGGAUUAGCUAGUUGGUGGGGUAAAGGCCUACCAAGGCGACGAUCCGUAACUGGUCUGAGAGGAUGAUCAGUCACACUGGAACUGGGACACGGUCCAGACUCCUACGGGAGGCAGCAGUGGGGAAUAUUGGACAAUGGGCGAAAGCCUGAUCCAGCCAUGCCGCGUGUGUGAAGAAGGUCUUCGGAUUGUAAAGCACUUUAAGUUGGGAGGAAGGGCGGUAAGUUAAUACCUUGCUGUUUUGACGUUACCAACAGAAUAAGCACCGGCUAACUUCGUG